GACGAACGCUGGCGGCGUGCUUAACACAUGCAAGUCGAACGGAAAGGCCCUGCUUUUGUGGGGUGCUCGAGUGGCGAACGGGUGAGUAACACGUGAGUAACCUGCCCUUGACUUUGGGAAAACUUCAGGAAACUGGGGCAAAUACCGGAUAGGAGCUCCUGCUGAAUGGUGGGGGUUGGAAAGUUUCGGCGGUUGGGGAUGGACUCGCGGCUUAUCAGCUUGUUGGUGGGGUAGUGGCUUACCAAGGCUUUGACGGGUAGCCGGCCUGAGAGGGUGACCGGCCACAUUGGGACUGGAAUACGGCCCAGACUCCUACGGGAGGCAGCAGUGGGGAAUAUUGCACAAUGGGCGGAAGCCUGAUGCAGCAACGCCGCGUGCGGGAUGACGGCCUUCGGGUUGUAAACCGCUUUCGCCUGUGACGAAGCGUGAGUGACGGUAAUGGGUAAAGAAGCACCGGCUAACUACGUG
RNAcentral lists this ribosomal RNA (468 nucleotides) under uncultured bacterium. RNAcentral describes it as "partial 16S ribosomal RNA". It matches the Rfam family "Bacterial small subunit ribosomal RNA", at positions 28 to 507 of the family's 1533-position model. The record is from RNAcentral.